UGCAGUCGAGCGGAUGAAGGGAGCUUGCUCCUGGAUUCAGCGGCGGACGGGUGAGUAAUGCCUAGGAAUCUGCCUGGUAGUGGGGGAUAACGUCCGGAAACGGGCGCUAAUACCGCAUACGUCCUGAGGGAGAAAGUGGGGGAUCUUCGGACCUCACGCUAUCAGAUGAGCCUAGGUCGGAUUAGCUAGUUGGUGGGGUAAAGGCCUACCAAGGCGACCAUCCGUAACUGGUCUGAGAGGAUGAUCAGUCACACUGGAACUGAGACACGGUCCAGACUCCUACGGGAGGCAGCAGUGGGGAAUAUUGGACAAUGGGCGAAAGCCUGAUCCAGCCAUGCCGCGUGUGUGAAGAAGGUCUUCGGAUUGUAAAGCACUUUAAGUUGGGAGGAAGGGCAGUAAGUUAAUACCUUGCUGUUUUGACGUUACCAACAGAAUAAGCACCGGCUAACUUCGUGCCAGCAGCCGCGGUAAUACGAAGGGUGCAAGCGUUAAUCCGAAUUACUGGGCGUAAAGCGCGCGUAGGUGGUUCAGCAAGUUGGAUGUGAAAUCCCCGGGCUCAACCUGGGAACUGCAUCCAAAACUACUGAGCUAGAGUACGGUAGAGGGUGGUGGAAUUUCCUGUGUAGCG
RNAcentral lists this ribosomal RNA (628 nucleotides) under Pseudomonas sp. Horo_36. RNAcentral's name for it is "bacterial SSU rRNA". It matches the Rfam family "Bacterial small subunit ribosomal RNA", at positions 56 to 680 of the family's 1533-position model. The record is from RNAcentral. Lineage: Bacteria; Pseudomonadati; Pseudomonadota; Gammaproteobacteria; Pseudomonadales; Pseudomonadaceae.